GCGGGAACGAUCGUGUGCGAUCGUAUCGUGACAGCUUGUGGAGCGGAUUAAAUGCUGUCAUAUUUAUUAUAUAAAUUAUUAUUACACAUUCCCUUACGUUGAUUCUAUUUAAAUUAUGUGGUGCACCACGCCAGAAAUCUCAUGGCACAAUCGUGACCCAGUAUUAAGUAUUGACAUACAGUCCGGAAUUUACAAGACGUCGAAAGGUGAAAUUUUCUGGCGGCUAGCAACCGGUGGUGCCGACUCACAUGUGUUGAUAUGGCAUUUAACGACGAACGAAGGCGAUGGUGCGACUGUAAAAUGUGUAACGGAUUUGGAUCGACACCAGAAAGCGGUGAACGUGGUACGAUUUUCGCCCUCGAAGGACGUGUUGGCUUCAGGGGACGAUGAAUCGACCAUUAUUUUGUGGAAGCAAAAGGAAGAAUGCGAAUUCUUUAUUGGUUGUGAGGAGACCAAAGACAAAGAACAAUGGACCUCUUGGAAAGUGUUAAGGGGACAUCUCGAAGACGUUUAUGAUAUUAGCUGGUCCCAGAACUCUGAUAUGCUAGUUUCUGGCUCUGUGGACAACACAGCUAUUUUAUGGGACAUUCAUAAGGGACGUUCAGUAACUAUAUUAUCUGAUCACAAGGGUUUUGUACAAGGAGUUUCAUGGGAUCCUUGUAAUCAAUACAUAUGUACAAUAAGUACAGACAGAACGUGUCGUUUAAUUGAUGUGAACACCAAGAAGACGGUACAACGGGUUUACAAGGCUAAAAUCCCGACACCCGCAGAUCAUCACAUAAAAAAUAAAAGAGUGCGCUUGUUCUACGACGACACUUUCAAGUCGUUCUUUAGGAGAUUAACAUUUUCUGUAGAUGGAUCAUUAAUUAUCGUGCCUUCUGGUAUAAUCGAGCCUUUAGAAACCACGGAAAAGAUAUCUAAUGCAACCUUAGUAUUCUCAAGACAUAGUUUGAAGGAACCUCUUAUGCUCCUGCCUUCUCUGGAUGAACCGACUAUCGCAGUUCGAUGCUGUCCAAUCUAUUUUAAAUUGCAGGAAAAUGGCCCAACACCUGUAAUAUCACUGCCUUAUAGAAUGGUGUUUGCUAUCGCAACGCAGCACUCGGUAAUGGUUUACGAUACUCAACAAAUUUCACCGAUUGCUGUUAUAUCGAAUAUUCAUUACACCAGAUUAACCGACGUUGCGUGGUCGAGUAACGGUAGAAUUUUAGUUGCAUCCUCGACGGAUGGUUAUUGCUCUGUGAUACAGUUUCAAGAAGGUGAAUUAGGCGAGGAGUAUUAUAAAAUGCCAGACGGUACACCAACAAAGUCUGGUAUUGUAGUUAAUAAUAAAUCGCCUCCGACGUCGAAUUCGGACGCUAAGAAUGUACAUGAAAAACUGGUAUCAUCUCCUACGGACUGUAACGCUAUGGAUAUCGAUGUGGUAGAAAAAGUUCUCUCCACGAGUUCACAAAAGAAUUUACGAUUUAAUCGAGAACAUCAUAAAACUUCGAUUUACGCAGAUUUUUCGAUUGCCGCUAGUGCUAUAACGAUAGCUUUGACACCUGUGAGACUUGGAACAGAUAUUAUAUACCCAGGAGUAAUGAUAUAGCGUGUCACAGUGAUCUGACUGUUUGUUCGGUCAGACAGUAGUAGUUGAAUCGUGGUACGCCCUGACACGUUUUUUUACCAUUAACAUAAUCCACGAUGUAUAUGACUCGUGCCUUGAAUGAUAGUUGAUAAAUUGCAAUAUAAACUUGUGCAAUUCAAAAGAUUGUGUAUAGCCAGUUUAAACGUGUAAUUAUGAUACCUCUUUCAAACCGAAUCGACCGAUUAGGAAACCGUCGAAGCUACGAAGAAAGAGCGAUACUUGGACAACUGAGUAUGAAUAUUUUACGGUAUCCAAAGGCUGAUUUUAAGUUUCUCUUGUUCUCAGCCAAGAAUCCA
Molecule: RNA transcript, 1923 nt
Organism: Ceratina calcarata
Lineage: Eukaryota; Metazoa; Arthropoda; Insecta; Hymenoptera; Apidae
Gene: Caf1-105
Gene name: chromatin assembly factor 1, p105 subunit
Exons: 8
Source: RefSeq, a predicted model, not a curated record